GCUAGGCAUGGUGGUGCACGCCUGUAAUCCCAGCUACUCAGGAGGCUGAGGCGGGAGAAUCACUUGAACCCAGGAGGCAGAGGUUGCAGUGAGCCGAGAUCGUGCCAUUACACUCCAGCCUGGGCAACAGGAGGGAAACUCCAUCUCCAAAAAAAGAAAAAAAAAAAUUGGCCGGGCGUGGUGGCUCAUGCCUGUAAUCCCAGCACUUUUGGAGGCUGAGGCGGGCGGAUCACGAAGUCAGGAGAUUGAGACCAUCCUGGCUAACACGGUGAAACCCUGUCUCU
RNAcentral lists this small RNA (284 nucleotides) under Pan troglodytes (chimpanzee). Lineage: Eukaryota; Metazoa; Chordata; Mammalia; Primates; Hominidae. The record is from RNAcentral.